CAAAAGCUGCCUUCAAAUGCAGCUUGGCUGUGAUUCACAGUGGGGAAAAAAGCAGGAAUAACCCUGCCAGGUCCCAGGAGCUUUGAGAUUCAUCGCAUUGAACUUGAUACAUACAGCAAAGCACCUUGAAAAUGAAUCAUUUGCUAGUUCAGUAUUUUCUCCUUACAAUCACUCCCUCCCAGGGCAUGUAAUUAAUUUCCUGAGCUUUGAAAAAAAAAAAU
RNAcentral lists this long non-coding RNA (221 nucleotides) under Peromyscus maniculatus bairdii (prairie deer mouse). RNAcentral's name for it is "Prostate androgen-regulated transcript 1 conserved region 1 (ENSPEMG00000001336.2)". It matches the Rfam family "Prostate androgen-regulated transcript 1 conserved region 1". The record is from RNAcentral. Lineage: Eukaryota; Metazoa; Chordata; Mammalia; Rodentia; Cricetidae.